RNAcentral lists this ribosomal RNA (216 nucleotides) under Glomeromycotina sp. RNAcentral's name for it is "partial small subunit ribosomal RNA". The stretch from base 40 to 216 matches the Rfam family "Eukaryotic small subunit ribosomal RNA", at positions 686 to 864 of the family's 1831-position model. The record is from RNAcentral. Lineage: Eukaryota; Fungi; Glomeromycota.
GGGUCAGUAGGUUGGUCGUGCCACCGGUACGUACUGGUCUCACUGAUUCCUCCUUCCUGAAGAAUCGUAAUGCCAUUAAUUUGGUGUUGCGGGGAAACAGGACUGUUACUUUGAAAAAAUUAGAGUGUUUAAGGCAAGCUAACGCUUGAAUACAUUAGCAUGGAAUAAUGAAAUAGGACGAUCGAUCCUAUUUUGUUGGUUUCUGGGAUUGACGUA